Molecule: unclassified non-coding RNA, 1330 nt
Filed under: Hevea brasiliensis (rubber tree)
Lineage: Eukaryota; Viridiplantae; Streptophyta; Magnoliopsida; Malpighiales; Euphorbiaceae
Source: RNAcentral
GAAAAAAAGAAAAAAAGAAAAAAAAGAGCUUGGUUUGGCAGUUCAAACCUUUUCUUUUGCUAAAAAGGUUUCCCAUGAAUGCAUACUAAAAAGGCUUAAAGCAAUCACAAAACCAUCUGAAAAAUGAGUUCACUGGACUCGCCUACAAUUCAUUGGAUGUUAUAGCAUUUUCAAACCGGUUAAACUCUGUCUUCGAGGCUUCGUCAUAGUUUUCAACUUUCUUUUUAUGUUUCUUAGCCCCACCCAAAGGGGAAGGGGGAGGGGGAAAGGAUGAGGUAUGGCAACACUGCCUACAUUGGAGCACUAUGAAAAGAGAGACUGAGAGAAAGAAAAAUAAGGAAAAAAUAAAAAAUAGGCAUAGCUUCAUGCUAUAUUCCUCUCAACUCAGGUUGUCUUUCCACUUUCUAGAGCCUUCAAUCUAUAUAUUAUCAUCAGAGCACCUUUCUAGCCCUUGGCAGUUUGCACUCAGGUAAAUCAGUGAAAUUCUUGUUUCUUAUCAGAAAAAGAAAUUAGAAGUGCUGCAAUGUCGCUAUAAGGAAAAGAAAGGUAACACUUAUAUUGACCAUAGACAUCAAUCAACAAAAUCACUAUCAAGCUAUAUAACACUUUCUGUGAUAGAUAUCAUCUAGAUCAUCCGCAGCAUAAACAUACAUUUAAAAAGCCCAUAAAAUUUAUCUUCAUGUCAAGUGAAGUCAAUAUUAAGUCUCGAAGAUACGGAUCAAAAUGGUAAAGAGAUAGCGCAAAGCAUAAGGUAGGUAUUGCACUACUAUUAGCUAAAUUACCGAAACAACAUGGUUAAGACUGAAUUAAGACCAGAUGACCUAAAUGUUUAACCUCAAAGCACUACGAAUCCAGAGUUUGAAGACUUGAUCACCCUUGAAUCAAGUGAAUUUAGCACCUGCUUUUAUGCUAAUUUUGUUUUAAAGACAACAGCCAUAGAUGUGUUUAACAGUAUGAAGAACUUUUUUACUGAACAUUUCAGAUGUUAUUGUAUUAUCCAACUCCAUAAAAAGUUUUUUUCAGGGAACCAUAUCAAGUCAUUUCCAUAUAUUAUUAGGAAGCAAAAUUCAAAGACAACGAAUUGCAAGUACUGAAAUUUAUUAAAAAGCUCUCAUUUUUCAUGUGUAAACAUUAUUAAAUUAGAUGCAUUCUGUAUAUAAACUUUAAAAUUAGAUUCAACACAAUUAUGAGAUGAUAACUAUGUUUAUAUGGAAAUUCAACUCCAAAGCCAAAUCCCAAAUACGCAACAGAAAUAUCAAAACCCCAUAUAUGCAAUUAAUCAAACACUAAAACAAUUAAGACCAAUUUCUCAAACCAAAAAAAAAAAAAA